AUUACAUUCGCCGUCGAGCUCCGAGCACUCGUGAGACUCUGAGUCGGCUUUCAGGCUUCUCAUAAAUAACGAAAACGAAACGACUAAACGGGAAAGCGAAGUAACCCAAUUUGAGGAUGCAAAGUAGGGAAGAAAUAUAGGGAUACAGAGAAAUUGCUGUACCCGGGUGUACGAUGCCGAGCGGAUUCAGACACUACUCGUUUCUUAAGGGUCGGCUCAAUGAAACAGAUCCACGCAACGUCGGUGAACUGAUCCCAUAUACGACUUCAACCCUUGGUCGUUACUCUCCUUCGAUUUUCGUAUCUUCAGUCCCUCCCCGAUACGGAGCAAGAAGAGGGUGAGGAGGCAGGACUCGGUGGUAGACUGCAAGGAAAUCGAAGGGUGCACCGAAAAAUUCGUACGAAAAGUUCGAAGCGAUUGCUUUCGUAGCAACUAUGAAAAGCUCUUUUCAUGUCGUAAUGAAAAUCAAGUUUUCCAUCAGCCCUUCAUUACGAUACUAUAAGUGGUUAAAAUCCUUGGACUAAGUGAGCGC
RNAcentral lists this unclassified non-coding RNA (532 nucleotides) under Athalia rosae (coleseed sawfly). RNAcentral describes it as "misc RNA ENSAEAG00005010059.1". The record is from RNAcentral. Lineage: Eukaryota; Metazoa; Arthropoda; Insecta; Hymenoptera; Athaliidae.